GCCUACGGGGCGCAGCAGUGAGGAAUAUUGGUCAAUGGGCGCGAGCCUGAACCAGCCAAGUCGCGUGAGGGAGGACGGCCCUACGGGUUGUAAACCUCUUUUGCCGGGGAGCAACGGGCGUCACGUGUGGCGCCACUGAGAGUACCCGGAGAAAAAGCAUCGGCUAACUCCGUGCCAGCAGCCGCGGUAAUACGGAAGGUCCGGGCGUUAUCCGGAUUUAUUGGGUUUAAAGGGAGCGUAGGCCGGCUUUUAAGUCAGCUGUGAAAGUCGGCGGCUCAACCGUGGAAUUGCAGUUGAAACUGGAG
RNAcentral lists this ribosomal RNA (305 nucleotides) under uncultured bacterium. RNAcentral describes it as "bacterial SSU rRNA". It matches the Rfam family "Bacterial small subunit ribosomal RNA", at positions 337 to 638 of the family's 1533-position model. The record is from RNAcentral.